This 443-nucleotide ribosomal RNA is filed under the name Vibrio alginolyticus. RNAcentral's name for it is "bacterial SSU rRNA". It matches the Rfam family "Bacterial small subunit ribosomal RNA", at positions 1 to 430 of the family's 1533-position model. RNAcentral also lists the same sequence under 1 other name. Lineage: Bacteria; Pseudomonadati; Pseudomonadota; Gammaproteobacteria; Vibrionales; Vibrionaceae. The record is from RNAcentral.
AAAUUGAAGAGUUUGAUCAUGGCUCAGAUUGAACGCUGGCGGCAGGCCUAACACAUGCAAGUCGAGCGGAAACGAGUUAUCUGAACCUUCGGGGAACGAUAACGGCGUCGAGCGGCGGACGGGUGAGUAAUGCCUAGGAAAUUGCCCUGAUGUGGGGGAUAACCAUUGGAAACGAUGGCUAAUACCGCAUGAUGCCUACGGGCCAAAGAGGGGGACCUUCGGGCCUCUCGCGUCAGGAUAUGCCUAGGUGGGAUUAGCUAGUUGGUGAGGUAAGGGCUCACCAAGGCAACGAUCCCUAGCUGGUCUGAGAGGAUGAUCAGCCACACUGGAACUGAGACACGGUCCAGACUCCUACGGGAGGCAGCAGUGGGGAAUAUUGCACAAUGGGCGCAAGCCUGAUGCAGCCAUGCCGCGUGUAUGAAGAAGGCCUUCGGGUUGUAAAG